Ceratina calcarata is the source of this 1223-nucleotide long non-coding RNA. RefSeq lists it as uncharacterized. The transcript has 2 exons. The record is from RefSeq and is a predicted model, not a curated record. NCBI's taxonomy places the organism in Eukaryota, Metazoa, Arthropoda, Insecta, Hymenoptera, Apidae.
GCGAUAUCGAUUUUACGAGUGACCGUCGUUCGGAGAUUCCAACUCACGUUCCGAAACGUAAUUUAAUUCGAUUAAGAAUUAACGUAUCAAUAGAUUCCUUGGCAGGACCUUCGAACUUUCGACUGUCGCAACCAGGGAAAACAAGAUCUUGUUUGUCUUUUAAACAGUACGUGGUGUUCCAGGAUCGAGUAUGAUUAAAUUCGUGGGAAUCGAAGGAACUAUCGUGACGGAACUAUGUAAAUCUCGAGCGAACAUCUCGCCUGAAGAUCGAUCAAGAACCCGAAGAGAUAUCGGGCCCGUGAGGCUCUCAGAGGAAAUGAAUGUCAGUUCUUAAUCGAGUUUGUAUCUGAAAUACCGCUACUACGCGUUGAGAGUGGGAUGAUCGGAACAAAGCGGGUCACAAUUGAAGUGAAGGAUUAAAAAGGAGGAUUUAACUUUGACGCUCUUUGGCGGAAUGCUAACUAGAUUGCUGUUAGACUAGAAAAUGAAUUAUUUGUAAUGUCAAUUUAGAACAUGCAAUCUAAAUAGAAAUUCCUUUUAUACAUUAUAAAUUAAAUUCACCUUUCAUACAUUUUGGGCAUUCAAUGCAGUUUUGAUAGAUACAAGGGUUUUAUAAAUGCAUCAAAUCUAAUUAUAGGCAAUUGAUCGCUGAGUGGAUGAAAAUUGUAUUAAUUAAUCGGUUAAAUUGAAUACCAUUUUCUAGUUUGCAACUAUUUAAUUAACUCCCGGAUGUAAUCCCGAGUAAUGGCCAAAAAGGAAACAGACUUCAUAAGAGAUAGUACUAAUAUAACGUUUAAUAAGGAAUUAUAAGCUUAAAUCGUCAAGCUCGGAAGUUUUGAUCGUUAUAAUGUAAAAGUUUGCGGUGGAUACAAGCUUCCGAUGAAAUUGAAUUUUGAAUCUCCGCCACAUACAAUAUGCUUGUCCUAUUAUAAAACGAAACUCGUACUACGAAGUUAUAAUUCGUACGCCACUACGAUAGAGUCGUGUAGCGAAAGUAUGAAAUAAUUUUUAGAAUCUCUAUUGUAAGGAUCCUACAUGCCGUUGAAUAUGUCGAAGAUUCACUCGAAUGGAAUUCGAUAACAUGCAUAAAGGAGUUUUUUUGUCAGAGUAUGAAGAAUGAGGAAUAAGAAUUUUUAUCAGGGUAAAAAGGAACGCAUUUCUGAAUGAUUUUGAAUUAUGUAGGAUGGGUGCAGGCACGUAAUUGUACCCAAUACGAAAUAAAU